RNAcentral lists this ribosomal RNA (497 nucleotides) under uncultured bacterium. RNAcentral's name for it is "partial 16S ribosomal RNA". It matches the Rfam family "Bacterial small subunit ribosomal RNA", at positions 39 to 507 of the family's 1533-position model. The record is from RNAcentral.
GGGGGGGGGGGGGGGGGGGGCGGGGGGGGGCGGGGGGGGCGGGGGGGCGCGAAGGUGGGUGCUGUGGGGGUAGCGGGGGACGGGUGGGUAACACGUGGAGAGCCUACCUAUAAGACUGGGAGAACUUCGGGAAGCCGGAGCUAAGACGGGCUCAUAUUUUGGCCCGCAUGGUGCAAAAGUGAAAGACGGUCUUGCCGUCACUGAUAGAUGGGUCCGCGCUGCAUUAGCUAGUUGGUAAGGUAAUGGCUUACCAAGGCAACGAUGCAUAGCCGACCUGAGAGGGUGAUCGGCCACACUGGAACUGAGACACGGUCCAGACUCCUACGGGAGGCAGCAGUAGGGAAUCUUCCGCAAUGGGCGAAAGCCUGACGGAGCAACGCCGCGUGAGUGAUGAAGGUCUUCGGAUCGUAAAACUCUGUUAUUAGGGAAGAACAUAUGUGUAAGUAACUGUGCACAUCUUGACGGUACCUAAUCAGAAAGCCACGGCUAACUACGUG